AGCUACGACCAAAUCCAGAGCAGAGCAAGAUUUCCCGUCCGAUCAAUCGUAUUUAAGCCUCUGAGAGCCUUUCUAAGUAAUGCCGUGGGAGACCAGGCGUGAACAAACGGUGUUGUAGCUC
RNAcentral lists this ribosomal RNA (121 nucleotides) under Sugiyamaella lignohabitans. Lineage: Eukaryota; Fungi; Ascomycota; Dipodascomycetes; Dipodascales; Trichomonascaceae. The record is from RNAcentral.